This 253-nucleotide ribosomal RNA is filed under the name uncultured bacterium. RNAcentral's name for it is "partial 16S ribosomal RNA". It matches the Rfam family "Bacterial small subunit ribosomal RNA", at positions 524 to 776 of the family's 1533-position model. The record is from RNAcentral.
UACGGAGGGUGCAAGCGUUAUCCGGAUUCACUGGGUUUAAAGGGUGCGUAGGCGGGCAGGUAAGUCAGUGGUGAAAUCUCCGAGCUUAACUUGGAAACUGCCGUUGAUACUAUCUGCCUUGAAUAUUGUGGAGGUGAGCGGAAUAUGUCAUGUAGCGGUGAAAUGCUUAGAUAUGACAUAGAACACCAAUUGCGAAGGCAGCUCGCUACACAUAUAUUGACUCUGAGGCACGAAAGCGUGGGGAUCAAACAGG